RNAcentral lists this ribosomal RNA (895 nucleotides) under Cordyceps militaris. RNAcentral's name for it is "LSU rRNA". It matches the Rfam family "Eukaryotic large subunit ribosomal RNA", at positions 38 to 964 of the family's 3401-position model. Lineage: Eukaryota; Fungi; Ascomycota; Sordariomycetes; Hypocreales; Cordycipitaceae. The record is from RNAcentral.
GCAUAUCAAUAAGCGGAGGAAAAGAAACCAACAGGGAUUGCCCCAGUAACGGCGAGUGAAGCGGCAACAGCUCAAAUUUGAAAUCUGGCCCCCGGGUCCGAGUUGUAAUUUGUAGAGGAUGCUUUUGGCGAGGUGCCUUCCGAGUUCCCUGGAACGGGACGCCAUAGAGGGUGAGAGCCCCGUCUGGUCGGACACCGAGCCUCUGUAAAGCUCCUUCGACGAGUCGAGUAGUUUGGGAAUGCUGCUCAAAAUGGGAGGUAUAUGUCUUCUAAAGCUAAAUAUUGGCCAGAGACCGAUAGCGCACAAGUAGAGUGAUCGAAAGAUGAAAAGCACUUUGAAAAGAGGGUUAAAAAGUACGUGAAAUUGUUGAAAGGGAAGCGCCUAUGACCAGACUUGGGCCCGGUGAAUCACCCAGCGUUCUCGCUGGUGCACUUCGCCGGGCACAGGCCAGCAUCAGUUUGGCGCGGGGGAGAAAGGCUUCGGGAAUGUGGCUCCCCCGGGAGUGUUAUAGCCCGUUGCGCAAUACCCUGCGCUGGACUGAGGUACGCGCAUUCGCAAGGAUGCUGGCGUAAUGGUCAUCAGCGACCCGUCUUGAAACACGGACCAAGGAGUCGUCUUCGUAUGCGAGUGUUCGGGUGUCAAACCCCUACGCGUAAUGAAAGUGAACGCAGGUGAGAGCUUCGGCGCAUCAUCGACCGAUCCUGAUGUUCUCGGAUGGAUUUGAGUAAGAGCAUACGGGGCCGGACCCGAAAGAAGGUGAACUAUGCCUGUAUAGGGUGAAGCCAGAGGAAACUCUGGUGGAGGCUCGCAGCGGUUCUGACGUGCGAAUCGAUCGUCAAAUAUGGGCAUGGGGGCGAAAGACUAAUCGAACCUUCUAGUAGCUGGUUUCCGCCGA